CCCUUAGAUGUUCUGGGCCGCACGCGCGCUACACUGACGAAUGCAACGAGCUUAUAACCUUGGCUGAAAGGUCUGGGUAAUCUCCAAAUUUCGUCGUGAUGGGGAUAGAUUAUUGCAAUUAUUAAUCUUCAACGAGGAAUGCCUAGUAAGCGCAAGUCAUCAGCUUGCGUUGAUUACGUCCCUGCCCUUUGUACACACCGCCCGUCGCUCCUACCGAUUGAAUGGUCCGGUGAAGCGUUCGGACCGUGGCCUUUGGACGGUUCGCCGUCUGUUGGCUGCGGGAAGUUCGUUAAACCUUAUCAUUUAGAGGAAGGAGAAGUCGUANCA
RNAcentral lists this ribosomal RNA (327 nucleotides) under uncultured eukaryote. RNAcentral describes it as "partial 18S ribosomal RNA". It matches the Rfam family "Eukaryotic small subunit ribosomal RNA", at positions 1470 to 1796 of the family's 1831-position model. The record is from RNAcentral.